UGGGGAAUAUUGCACAAUGGGGGAAACCCUGAUGCAGCGACGCCGCGUGAAGGAUGAAGUAUUUCGGUAUGUAAACUUCUAUCAGCAGGGAAGAAAANGACGGUACCUGACUAAGAAGCCCCGGCUAACUACGUGCC
This 137-nucleotide ribosomal RNA is filed under the name uncultured bacterium. Its description in RNAcentral is "partial 16S ribosomal RNA". It matches the Rfam family "Bacterial small subunit ribosomal RNA", at positions 355 to 509 of the family's 1533-position model. The record is from RNAcentral.